AUUGAACGCUGGCGGCAGGCUUAACGCAUGCAAGUCGAGCGGAGAUGAGGUGCUUGCACCUUAUCUUAGCGGCGGACGGGUGAGUAAUGCUUAGGAAUCUGCCCAUUAGUGGGGGACAACAUUCCGAAAGGAAUGCUAAUACCGCAUACGUCCUACGGGAGAAAGCAGGGGAUCUUCGGACCUUGCGCUAAUAGAUGAGCCUAAGUCGGAUUAGCUAGUUGGUGGGGUAAAGGCCUACCAAGGCGACGAUCUGUAGCGGGUCUGAGAGGAUGAUACGCCACACUGGGACUGAGACACGGCCCAGACUCCUACGGGAGGCAGCAGUGGGGAAUAUUGGACAAUGGGGGGAACCCUGAUCAAGCCAUGCCGCGUGUGUGAAGAAGGCCUUAUGGUUGUAAAGCACUUUAAGCGAGGAGGAGGCUACUGAGACUAAUACUCUUGGAUAGUGGACGUUACUCGCAGAAUAAGCACCGGCUAACUCUGUGCCAGCCGCCGCGGUAA
This 501-nucleotide ribosomal RNA is filed under the name uncultured bacterium. RNAcentral's name for it is "partial 16S ribosomal RNA". It matches the Rfam family "Bacterial small subunit ribosomal RNA", at positions 30 to 523 of the family's 1533-position model. The record is from RNAcentral.